GGUUAAGCGACUAAGCGUACACGGUGGAUGCCCUGGCAGUCAGAGGCGAUGAAGGACGUGCUAAUCUGCGAAAAGCGUCGGUAAGGUGAUAUGAACCGUUACAGCCGGCGAUGUCCGAAUGGGGAAACCCAGUGCAAUUCGUUGCACUAUCGUUAACUGAAUACAUAGGUUAACGAGGCGAACCGGGGGAACUGAAACAUCUAAGUACCCCGAGGAAAAGAAAUCAACCGAGAUUCCCCCAGUAGCGGCGAGCGAACGGGGAGCAGCCCAGAGUCUGAAUCAGCUUGUGUGUUAGUGGAACGGUCUGGAAAGUCCGACGGUACAGGGUGAUAGUCCCGUACACCAAAAUGCACAGGUUGUGAACUCGAAGAGUAGGGCGGGACACGUGGUAUCCUGUCUGAAUAUGGGGGGACCAUCCUCCAAGGCUAAAUACUCCUGACUGACCGAUAGUGAACCAGUACCGUGAGGGAAAGGCGAAAAGAACCCCGGCGAGGGGAGUGAAAAAGAACCUGAAACCGUGUACGUACAAGCAGUGGGAGCACCUUCGGGUGUGACUGCGUACCUUUUGUAUAAUGGGUCAGCGACUUAUAUUCUGUAGCAAGGUUAACCGUAUAGGGGAGCCGCAGGGAAACCGAGUCUUAACUGGGCGUUAAGUUGCAGGGUAUAGACCCGAAACCCGGUGAUCUAGCCAUGGGCAGGUUGAAGGUUGGGUAACACUAACUGGAGGACCGAACCGACUAAUGUUGAAAAAUUAGCGGAUGACUUGUGGCUGGGGGUGAAAGGCCAAUCAAACCGGGAGAUAGCUGGUUCUCCCCGAAAGCUAUUUAGGUAGCGCCUCGUGAAUUCAUCUUCGGGGGUAGAGCACUGUUUCGGCUAGGGGGUCAUCCCGACUUACCAACCCGAUGCAAACUACGAAUACCGAAGAAUGUUAUCACGGGAGACACACGGCGGGUGCUAACGUCCGUCGUGAAGAGGGAAACAACCCAGACCGCCAGCUAAGGUCCCAAAGUCAUGGUUAAGUGGGAAACGAUGUGGGAAGGCACAGACAGCCAGGAUGUUGGCUUAGAAGCAGCCAUCAUUUAAAGAAAGCGUAAUAGCUCACUGGUCGAGUCGGCCUGCGCGGAAGAUGUAACGGGGCUAAACCAUGCACCGAAGCUGCGGCAGCGACACUAUGUGUUGUUGGGUAGGGGAGCGUUCUGUAAGCCUGCGAAGGUGACCUGUGAGGGUUGCUGGAGGUAUCAGAAGUGCGAAUGCUGACAUAAGUAACGAUAAAGCGGGUGAAAAGCCCGCUCGCCGGAAGACCAAGGGUUCCUGUCCAACGUUAAUCGGGGCAGGGUGAGUCGACCCCUAAGGCGAGGCCGAAAGGCGUAGUCGAUGGGAAACAGGUUAAUAUUCCUGUACUUGGUGUUACUGCGAAGGGGGGACGGAGAAGGCUAUGUUAGCCGGGCGACGGUUGUCCCGGUUUAAGCAUGUAGGCUGGUUAUCCAGGCAAAUCCGGAUAAUCAAGGCUGAGGUGUGAUGACGAGGCACUACGGUGCUGAAGUAACAAAUGCCCUGCUUCCAGGAAAAGCCUCUAAGCAUCAGGUAACAUCAAAUCGUACCCCAAACCGACACAGGUGGUCAGGUAGAGAAUACCAAGGCGCUUGAGAGAACUCGGGUGAAGGAACUAGGCAAAAUGGUGCCGUAACUUCGGGAGAAGGCACGCUGGUGUGUAGGUGAAGUCCCUGCGGAUGGAGCUGAGACCAGUCGAAGAUACCAGCUGGCUGCAACUGUUUAUUAAAAACACAGCACUGUGCAAACACGAAAGUGGACGUAUACGGUGUGACGCCUGCCCGGUGCCGGAAGGUUAAUUGAUGGGGUUAUCCGUAAGGAGAAGCUCUUGAUCGAAGCCCCGGUAAACGGCGGCCGUAACUAUAACGGUCCUAAGGUAGCGAAAUUCCUUGUCGGGUAAGUUCCGACCUGCACGAAUGGCGUAAUGAUGGCCAGGCUGUCUCCACCCGAGACUCAGUGAAAUUGAACUCGCUGUGAAGAUGCAGUGUACCCGCGGCAAGACGGAAAGACCCCGUGAACCUUUACUAUAGCUUGACACUGAACAUUGAGCCUUGAUGUGUAGGAUAGGUGGGAGGCUUUGAAGCGUGGACGCCAGUCUGCGUGGAGCCAACCUUGAAAUACCACCCUUUAAUGUUUGAUGUUCUAACGUUGGCCCCUUACCGGGGUUGCGGACAGUGUCUGGUGGGUAGUUUGACUGGGGCGGUCUCCUCCCAAAGCGUAACGGAGGAGCACGAAGGUUAGCUAAUCCUGGUCGGACAUCAGGAGGUUAGUGCAAUGGCAUAAGCUAGCUUGACUGCGAGCGUGACGGCGCGAGCAGGUGCGAAAGCAGGUCAUAGUGAUCCGGUGGUUCUGAAUGGAAGGGCCAUCGCUCAACGGAUAAAAGGUACUCCGGGGAUAACAGGCUGAUACCGCCCAAGAGUUCAUAUCGACGGCGGUGUUUGGCACCUCGAUGUCGGCUCAUCACAUCCUGGGGCUGAAGUAGGUCCCAAGGGUAUGGCUGUUCGCCAUUUAAAGUGGUACGCGAGCUGGGUUUAGAACGUCGUGAGACAGUUCGGUCCCUAUCUGCCGUGGGCGCUGGAGAAUUGAGGGGGGCUGCUCCUAGUACGAGAGGACCGGAGUGGACGCAUCACUGGUGUUCGGGUUGUCAUGCCAAUGGCACUGCCCGGUAGCUAAAUGCGGAAGAGAUAAGUGCUGAAAGCAUCUAAGCACGAAACUUGCCCCGAGAUGAGUUCUCCCUGAGACUUUAAGUCUCCUGAAGGAACGUUGAAGACGACGACGUUGAUAGGCCGGGUGUGUAAGCGCAGCGAUGCGUUGAGCUAACCGGUACUAAUGAACCGUGAGGCUUAACCUU
This 2902-nucleotide ribosomal RNA is filed under the name Klebsiella pneumoniae. RNAcentral describes it as "23S ribosomal RNA". It matches the Rfam family "Bacterial large subunit ribosomal RNA". The record is from RNAcentral. Lineage: Bacteria; Pseudomonadati; Pseudomonadota; Gammaproteobacteria; Enterobacterales; Enterobacteriaceae.